CCUACGGGCGGUAGCAGUGAGGAAUAUUGGUCAAUGGGCGUAAGCCUGAACCAGCCAAGUCGCGUGAGGGAUGACGGCUCUAUGGGUUGUAAACUUCUUUUAUAAGGGAAUAAAGUGCGGGACGUGUCCCGUUUUGUAUGUACUUUAUGAAUAAGGAUCGGCUAACUCCGUGCCAGCAGCCGCGGUAAUACGGAGGAUCCGAGCGUUAUCCGGAUUUAUUGGGUUUAAAGGGUGCGUAGGCGGCCUUUUAAGUCAGUGGUGAAAGUCUGUGGCUCAACCAUAGAAUUGCCGUUGAUACUGGGAGACUUGAGUAUGUUUGAGGCAGGCGGAAUGCGUGGUGUAGCGGUGAAAUGCUUAGAUAUCACGCAGAACCCCGAUUGCGAAGGCAGCCUGCCAAGCCGUGACUGACGCUGAUGCACGAAAGCGUGGGGAUCAAACAGGAUUAGAUACCCUUGUAGUC
Molecule: ribosomal RNA, 460 nt
Filed under: uncultured bacterium
Lineage: Bacteria
Description: partial 16S ribosomal RNA
Rfam family: Bacterial small subunit ribosomal RNA
Source: RNAcentral